Molecule: small RNA, 144 nt
Organism: Lonsdalea quercina
Lineage: Bacteria; Pseudomonadati; Pseudomonadota; Gammaproteobacteria; Enterobacterales; Pectobacteriaceae
Rfam family: Yersinia sRNA 155(RyfD)
Source: Rfam
UAGGACGGUCCAGCGCGUAGAACAUUAUUCCUACUAUUAUUACUGACAAAUCAUCUUGAAAAUUUGGGGCUAGGCCUCAUCUAAUCUCCAGUAGCACAUUUGAUCAGUACAAAUCGGAGGAGUUAUGCGUCUGGAUCGUCUUAC